GACGAACGCUGGCGGCGUGCUUAACACAUGCAAGUCGAGCGGUAAGGCCCUUUCGGGGGUACACGAGCGGCGAACGGGUGAGUAACACGUGGGUGACCUGCCCUCAGCUCUGGGAUAAGCCUGGGAAACCGGGUCUAAUACCGGAUAUGACUCCAUGACGCAUGUUGUGGGGUGGAAAGCCUUGUGCGGCUGAGGAUGGGCCCGCGGCCUAUCAGCUUGUUGGUGGGGUGAUGGCCUACCGAGGCGACGACGGGUAGCCGGCCUGAGAGGGCGACCGGCCACACUGGGACUGAGACACGGCCCAGACUCCUACGGGAGGCAGCAGUGGGGAAUCUUGCGCAAUGGGCGAAAGCCUGACGCAGCGACGCCGCGUGAGGGAUGACGGCCUCGG
Molecule: ribosomal RNA, 391 nt
Filed under: uncultured bacterium
Lineage: Bacteria
Description: bacterial SSU rRNA
Rfam family: Bacterial small subunit ribosomal RNA
Source: RNAcentral